RNAcentral lists this long non-coding RNA (395 nucleotides) under Sorghum bicolor (sorghum). RNAcentral describes it as "long non-coding RNA (SBIC_LNC012132)". Lineage: Eukaryota; Viridiplantae; Streptophyta; Magnoliopsida; Poales; Poaceae. The record is from RNAcentral.
GGGGUCCAUCUGAUGACCCUUGGCGUUGGGGGAGGCGCUAAGGGAGCUCCAAGCUCCCAGAAAAGUGCUGCUCCUCGGGCGAGGUAUGUGUAGGCCUUUUGAUCUUGCUUUUGGUUUUUUUGUUUUUCUCUUUCUUUUAAUUCGUGUUAUCGCCUCAUCAGCCGGAAGCACAAGGUGGCCUCGGUGGGGCAGGCUCCCCUGAAGGCCGUGAAGAGGGGGGCGCAGUCGACCCUAGGGUCAGUGAGGCCCAAGUCGCCGCCCCCCUGAACCGUGAGGAGGGCGAGCUCCACCAGUGAAAGCCCUAGUUUGGUUUUGGAUAAUUGAUGAAACCCUAGUACUAACCUCUAUACUAAGUGUGUGUAGACUUAAUGAGGUUGGUACAUGCCAAGUGAUGG